GGCUCGGUGGCGGAAGGUCCGCAUCUGCGGAUAGUUCGUGGUGAUCAAGUUCUAGCAGAGGAUGCUCGUUCGAUUCGAGCCCGAGCCA
This is a non-coding RNA of Mycena sp. CBHHK59/15, 88 nucleotides long. The record is from the annotation of a GenBank genome assembly. Lineage: Eukaryota; Fungi; Basidiomycota; Agaricomycetes; Agaricales; Mycenaceae.